GAUGAACGCUGGCGGCGUGCCUAAUACAUGCAAGUCGAGCGAACAGACGAGGAGCUUGCUCCUCUGACGUUAGCGGCGGACGGGUGAGUAACACGUGGAUAACCUACCUAUAAGACUGGGAUAACUUCGGGAAACCGGAGCUAAUACCGGAUAAUAUAUUGAACCGCAUGGUUCAAUAAUGAAAGACGGUUUUGCUGUCACUUAUAGAUGGAUCCGCGCCGCAUUAGCUAGUUGGUAAGGUAACGGCUUACCAAGGCAACGAUGCGUAGCCGACCUGAGAGGGUGAUCGGCCACACUGGAACUGAGACACGGUCCAGACUCCUACGGGAGGCAGCAGUAGGGAAUCUUCCGCAAUGGGCGAAAGCUUGACGGAGCAACGCCGCGUGAGUGAUGAAGGUCUUCGGAUCGUAAAACUCUGUUAUUAGGGAAGAACAAAUGUGUAAGUAACUAUGCACGCCUUGACGGUACCUAAUCAGAAAGCCACGGCUAACUACGUG
RNAcentral lists this ribosomal RNA (497 nucleotides) under uncultured bacterium. RNAcentral's name for it is "partial 16S ribosomal RNA". It matches the Rfam family "Bacterial small subunit ribosomal RNA", at positions 28 to 507 of the family's 1533-position model. The record is from RNAcentral.